RNAcentral lists this ribosomal RNA (405 nucleotides) under uncultured bacterium. RNAcentral describes it as "partial 16S ribosomal RNA". It matches the Rfam family "Bacterial small subunit ribosomal RNA", at positions 30 to 525 of the family's 1533-position model. The record is from RNAcentral.
AUUGAACGCUGGCGGCAGGCCUAACACAUGCAAGUCUAACGAGUGGCGGACGGGUGAGUAAUGUCUGGGAAACUGCCUGAUGGCGGGGGAUAACUACUGGAAACGGUAGCUAAUACCGCAUACCAUCGGAUGUGCCCAGAUGGGCUUAGCUAGUAGGUGGGGUCAAGGCUCACCUAGGCGACGAUCCCUAGCUGUUCUGAGAGGAUGACCAGCCACGUUGGAACUGGGACACGGGCCAGAACCCUACGUGAGGCAGCAGGGGGGAAUAUUGCACAAUGGGCUCAAGCCUGAUGCAGCCAUGCCGCGUGUAUGAAGAAGGCCUUCGGGUUGUAAAGUACUUUCAGCGGGGAGGCGUUACCCGCAGAAGAAGCACCGGCUAACUCCGUGCCAGCAGCCGCGGUAAUA